RNAcentral lists this long non-coding RNA (1531 nucleotides) under Callithrix jacchus (white-tufted-ear marmoset). RNAcentral describes it as "lncRNA (ENSCJAG00000082812.1)". Lineage: Eukaryota; Metazoa; Chordata; Mammalia; Primates; Cebidae. The record is from RNAcentral.
CUGUUUUUCUCUCAUCUGUGUUCGAUGUCUCUCCAUUUUCUGGCAUUUAGUCUGAGCUUUGAGCAUGCAAAGCACUUGGGCUUCACCUAUGCUGACAGACCAUGGUAUCCCCAUGUCAUUUUGUGCUUUAUUCACUCUGGCCUUCACAUAUAGCUUGGGCAAAGACUUGUAAAUAGCUAAAAUUGACUGAAUAUGAAAUUGAUCAUAGUCUUCUAUCUAAAAGCAAUCAAAAGAUCUCCCUUUCUUUCUUCAGCAGGCAGAAGAAGUGGAUUUGACUAAGCAAAUUGGUAGGACUAAUUGGCAUCCCUCAUCAAGAGAGACCUCUCCACCCCCAAAUAUAGCCAUUAAAGCAAUUCUAUUUAAAAAUGAUGUUAUGGAGAGGGGGAAGAUGGCGCUGUAGGAGCAACUCAGGAUUGCAGCUCUCAGUGAAGGCACAGAGGGCGACUGAAACACCUGGAAGAGAGUCAACGGUUCAACUUAAACAACAACAACAACAACAAAAGGGCUCUGAGGCAGGGAGCCAGGUGAUCAGGCUUGGUGGGUCCCACCCCCACAGGGACAAACAAAACAGCAAUUGGAAACACUCAAAGUUGAGAGCUUUAUGUCGGGUACAGCUGAACCCAGGGUGGUGCAGCUUGGUGGGGGAGGAGCGUCCACCAUUACCGAGGCAUUUCGCCCCUACUGAGGUAAUCUCCAAUUGCUGAUGCAGCCUGACUUGCCAAGGCAACCCAUCAUAACACAGAGAGUCCGCCAAUACAGAGGUGGGCCAUCAUCACCAUGGCAGUCCUAACCACACCCAUAUAAACAGGACUAUAGGGAACUACACUCGGCAGAAGGGUGGAGCCCACAGCAUCAAGGUGGAGCCCACGACAGCAGGGCAGAGCCCACGGAAACAGGGCAGAGCCCAAGGCAGCAGGGCAGAGCCCACGACAGCAGGGCGGACCCCACAGCAGCAGGGUGGAGCCUUGGCAGGCAGAUAGUGACUAGACUGCUUCCUAGCUGGGUAGGACAGUGCAACGAAUACUCAUAAAUAAAGUCUAACUCCCCGUGACAGAGCAUCUGAGAAAAAAAAGGGGAUUUAUGAGUUUUGCUGCAACAACUUAAACAUACCUGCCUAGCAGCCCUGAAUGUACAAUGGAGCUCACAGCUCAGCACUUGAGCUCCUAUAAAGUACAGACCGACUCCUCAAGCAGCUCCCUGACCCUCAUACAUCCAAAGAGUCACAUCACAAAGGACUGAUUAGACUGACAUUUGGCAGGCAUCAUUCUGGGACAAAGCAGAAGAAACAGGUGCAUCCUCAGCCCAAAAUCUCCUGAAACUGAUAAGCAACUUCAGCAAAGUCUCAGGAUAUAAAAUCAGUGUGUAAAAAUCAAAAGCAUUCUUAUACACCAACAACAGACUUAAAGAAAACCAAAUCAAGAAUGAACUGCCAUUCACAAUUGCUACAAAGAGAAUAAAAUACCUAGGAAUAUAACUCACAAGGAAUAUAAGGGACCUCUUCAAGGAGAACUACAAACCACUGCUCAACAAA